Molecule: ribosomal RNA, 468 nt
Filed under: uncultured bacterium
Lineage: Bacteria
Description: partial 16S ribosomal RNA
Rfam family: Bacterial small subunit ribosomal RNA
Source: RNAcentral
GACGAACGCUGGCGGCGUGCUUAACACAUGCAAGUCGAACGGAAAAGCCCUGCUUUUGUGGGGUGCUCGAGUGGCGAACGGGUGAGUAACACGUGAGUAACCUGCCCCUGACUUUGGGAUAACUUCAGGAAACUGGGGCUAAUACCGGAUAGGAGCUCCUGCUGCAUGGUGGGGGUUGGAAAGUUUCGGCGGUUGGGGAUGGACUCGCGGCUUAUCAGCUUGUUGGUGGGGUAGUGGCUUACCAAGGCUUUGACGGGUAGCCGGCCUGAGAGGGUGACCGGCCACAUUGGGACUGAGAUACGGCCCAGACUCCUACGGGAGGCAGCAGUGGGGAAUAUUGCACAAUGGGCGGAAGCCUGAUGCAGCAACGCCGCGUGCGGGAUGACGGCCUUCGGGUUGUAAACCGCUUUCGCCUGUGACGAAGCGUGAGUGACGGUAAUGGGUAAAGAAGCACCGGCUAACUACGUG